This 198-nucleotide ribosomal RNA is filed under the name uncultured bacterium. RNAcentral describes it as "partial 16S ribosomal RNA". It matches the Rfam family "Bacterial small subunit ribosomal RNA", at positions 328 to 539 of the family's 1533-position model. The record is from RNAcentral.
ACGCUCGACACCUACGGGAGGCGGCAGUGGGGAAUAUUGCACAAUGGGGGAAACCCUGAUGCAGCGAUGCCGCGUGAAGGAAGAAGUAUCUCGGUAUGUAAACUUCUAUCAGCAGGGAAGAAAAUGACGGUACCUGACUAAGAAGCCCCGGCUAACUACGUGCCAGCAGCUGCGGUAAUCUGAGCGGGCUGGCAAGGC